AAAAAGCGGAGGAAAAGAAACCAACAGGGAUUGCCCUAGUAACGGCGAGUGAAGCGGCAACAGCUCAAAUUUGAAAGCUGGCUUAGGCCCGCAUUGUAAUUUGCAGAGGAUGCUUCUGGCGAGGUGCCUUCCGAGUUCCCUGGAACGGGACGCCAUAGAGGGUGAGAGCCCCGUAUGGAUGGACACCAGACCUGUGUGAAGCUCCUUCAACGAGUCGAGUAGUUUGGGAAUGCUGCUCUAAAUGGGAGGUAAAUCUCUUCUAAAGCUAAAUACCGGCCAGAGACCGAUAGCGCACAAGUAGAGUGAUCGAAAGAUGAAAAGCACCUUGAAAAGGGGGUUAAACAGUACGUGAAAUUGUUGAAAGGGAAGCGCUUGUGACCAGACUUGCGCCGGGCAGCUCAUCAGGGGUUCUCCCCUGUGCACUCUGCCCGGCUCAGGCCAGCAUCGGUUUUCGUGGGAGGAUAAGAACGGUAGGAACGUGGCCCCCCUUCGGGGGGGUGUUAUAGCCUGCCGUACGAUACUCCCGUGGGGACCGAGGUUCGCGCUCCGCAAGGAUGCUGGCGUAAUGGUCAUCAGCGACCCGUCUUGA
Molecule: ribosomal RNA, 589 nt
Filed under: Cytospora ulmi (nom. inval.)
Lineage: Eukaryota; Fungi; Ascomycota; Sordariomycetes; Diaporthales; Cytosporaceae
Description: partial large subunit ribosomal RNA
Rfam family: Eukaryotic large subunit ribosomal RNA
Source: RNAcentral